UCUUUCUUCCUCCCAGGCUAUUUUAUACUAUCCAGUAAUAUGAAGCUACAGAAAAUUUUUUACCCUUUAAUUCCCCGAAGCUGAAGGAUUUGCUCUAAACAUGGAAAAGAUGUGGGCUCCCAGGCCAGCACAGCCUGGGGAGAACUCAAGGAGGGGCUGAGAUCACAAAUCAAUCUCUCUGGCAACACGGCAGGGAGGGAGAGGAUUCGGUGGGAAGAGAUGCUGUGCCUGCUGCCAGCUGCAUGACCUUCAGCAGCUGAAGGAGCGUGAUGUGAUGCUUUGUUCUCAGGAAGAUCCUUGGGAAGAGGGGCUUAACCACAGAGUUGUCCUGACACACAUAGGCUGCAAACAAUUUGGGACCCAAAGCCCCGAGAGUCUCUGUAAGAAAGGUGUGCAUUUGUUUCAAGAGUCAGCAUUUCAAGAAAAUCAGACAGACUGUGCUAAGUGGAGAUUUAUAAAUAAACUGCUUUAUUUAUGCAUGCCUGGAUGACAGCUAAAGGCCUUGCUGUGGAGCAGCAUAACAGAACACCACCAGCAGCAGCAGUGCUUUGGCUGCCACCUCUCUGCCGGUAUUUGUGCCUCCGCUCCCUAGCCCUUCUGGCCCUUCUCCAGCUUUGCUCCUGGAGUAAAAGUGAAUGAGUCUCACUCCUCACUCACUGUAAUGUAUUUGUUAGUGUAAAGCGUGGCUGUUCAGAAGCUAAGCAACCCCCGUGCUCCCCUU
RNAcentral lists this long non-coding RNA (721 nucleotides) under Anas platyrhynchos platyrhynchos (common mallard). Its description in RNAcentral is "lncRNA (ENSAPLG00000019771.1)". Lineage: Eukaryota; Metazoa; Chordata; Aves; Anseriformes; Anatidae. The record is from RNAcentral.